RNAcentral lists this ribosomal RNA (217 nucleotides) under uncultured bacterium. RNAcentral's name for it is "partial 16S ribosomal RNA". The stretch from base 25 to 217 matches the Rfam family "Bacterial small subunit ribosomal RNA", at positions 549 to 776 of the family's 1533-position model. The record is from RNAcentral.
UACAGGUGGGAUUGCGUUUUGAAUAUUAAAUAGGCAUUAAGUGUGAUUAGGUGGCCAAGAUUCUAUAAGGAUAUCGGCUUGAGUUAGAAGAGGAGAGUUAGAGGAAUAACCAAAGGAAGGAUGAAAUCUAUAGAUAUUGGUUGGAACAUCAACAGCUAACAGCAUCACUCUAUUUUCUAACUGACACUGAAUCACUAAAGUGUGGGGAGCAAAACGG